Hydnum rufescens UP504 is the source of this 81-nucleotide non-coding RNA. Lineage: Eukaryota; Fungi; Basidiomycota; Agaricomycetes; Cantharellales; Hydnaceae. The record is from the annotation of a GenBank genome assembly.
AGCAUCAUAGCUCAGGUGGAAGAGCGAUGGGCCCAUAAGAGGUGCACCCAUAAGUCACUGGAUCGAGACCAGUUGAUGCUA